UGCACACCACCUCCCCUCCGACAGGGGCCCUCUACCCUCAAGAAAGAGAAGAAGCCUGUUUCAGUUAGUUUAUUGUUCAAAAAGCAAAACUCCAAAGCUGCAGCCGCAGAAUCCUCUAGAAACCGGAGCAUCGCCCCGUCCGCUUGGCAACAGCGGCGCAGGCCGCUCCGCUCCGUGGUCGGAGCUCCUGUAGCCGUCCGAGUCCAGAGUCCGGAGCCCAGGCCUCGCCUGCCUGGCCUCUCCCCUCCUUCCUGCGCAGAGCGCAGGCUGCUGAGUCACGCCCGCCCGGCCGGUCCGGCCUUCCCGGCCCGGGGCCCACGGCCCGCCUCCGGCCUUCCCGGGCAGGCCGCCGCCGCCCACACUCGCGGAGUCCACACUCGCGNGGGCCCUCCUGCAGGGGCCGCGCUCCUCGCCGCUCUCCGCGCAGCUCUCCGGGCCCGCGCGCUCCGAGGGCGCAUCCACAGAGCCGGCCGCGCGCUAGGCGCCCCGGUGCCACCACGUCGUCGAUCAGACCAAGGCCCCCUCCGCGCGGUCACUCGGGGAGGGUGAUGCUGGGCACCCAGUCGUUGACGCUGCGGCUCUCCUCGCAGAACACGCUGAGCUUCUCCAAGGCGGGGUCCUUCCACGCGUCCUCAUUGGGGUUCUGCGGGAGGGCGCAGAGGUCAGCCCGGCCGGCCGCGGCGCGGGGGGCGCGGGGGGCGCGGNNNNNNNNNACGCCGGCGAGGCCACACUCACCGAGAUGAGGAUGCAGUGCAGGUCCCCCGCGGCGGCCGCCUCGUCGCCCGCGCCCACGAUCGCCGCCAGCCUCUGCACGUCGCCCACGCGCACGAUGUCUAUGUCGUUCUCGCAGCAGAACGCCUGGAUCAGCGUGAAGUGGAUCUGGAGCGCGAUGUCGCCCUCGUCCUCCGCGUCGGCGGCCAGCACGCAGAAGACACAGAGAGGCAGAGACACAGGCAGAGGGAGAAGCAGGCUCCCUGCCGGGAGCCCGAUGCAGGACCCGAUCCCAGGAUCCCCGGAUCACGACCUGAGCUGAAGGCAGAUGCUCAACCGCUGAGCCACCCAGGCACCCCGAAACAUUUUUUUAUCUGGAGGCAGAUUUGGGCUCCACCAGACCCCACCACCAUCUUGGGGUCUGGACAAAUCCAUAAGCUGCUGCGCACAUGCUGGGCAGACUGCAGGAAAAGAGCAGGCAAUGCCUGCACCCCAACCCUGGUUACCUACCCCAAAGUAGACCACAUGUCCCCUGCUGCCCCACUGUGUCACCCCAGCACUGCCACACUGCAUUCAGCCACUGCCUCAGCCUGCUGGAGCCCCAAGUCCUAGGACGCCAUGAGGUCAUCCAAACUUCCCGCGACUACCCCCCUAACCCGCCCCCCCCCCCCGCCCCGAACCUUAAUAAUACAGGCAGUGGUGACUCGAUGAA
RNAcentral lists this long non-coding RNA (1423 nucleotides) under Vulpes vulpes (red fox). Its description in RNAcentral is "lncRNA (ENSVVUG00000022308.1)". The record is from RNAcentral. Lineage: Eukaryota; Metazoa; Chordata; Mammalia; Carnivora; Canidae.